GCGCGCUGCUUUGGUAGCGGAGGAAUGGAAAGGUGGCAAGUUCGAACUCAGCCGUAGACGUUUCAAUGGAAUGCUUUUUCCAAUAAUUUCAAUGGAAUGAAUUAGCAUAUCUCCUAACGGUAACUUAAAGCAAUAAUCUGGAUAGAAAGCCAGUCAAGCACAGAAGCUGUCGAGUGGUAGAGCUGGAAAGAGAACAUAGACAAACAUGGCAAAACAAAAGAGGUAAGUGCGCUACUUUGGUGCCGCUAAACUGACAACAUGCAUGAUACUAAAAAAUAAUAUAUAAUACAAUAACAGUACAGAAAUUUGUAGAUUAUAUAUGUAUAAUAAUAAUCAGUCAUUACACACAGAAAUUAAGGUAGGUUAACACACAUAAUGGCCCGCGGGCGCUUAAUAUUCAUAGGAUUAUUUACAUCAUAGUUAUACUUAGUUAUCGCAGGAUUGUCAAUAGCCUCCUGCUUGUCAUAA
This is a long non-coding RNA of Stegodyphus dumicola, 468 nucleotides long. NCBI's taxonomy places the organism in Eukaryota, Metazoa, Arthropoda, Arachnida, Araneae, Eresidae. The record is from RefSeq and is a predicted model, not a curated record.